CUACGGAGGGUGCAAGCGUUAUUCGGAAUCACUGGGCGUAAAGGACGCGUAGGCGGGUUGGCAAGUCAGAUGUGAAAUCCUACAGCUUAACUGUAGAACUGCAUUUGAAACUGCUAACCUAGAGUAUGGGAGGGGGAGAUGGAAUUAGUGGUGUAGGGGUAAAAUCCGUAGAUAUCACUAGGAAUACCGAAAGCGAAGGCGAUCUGCUGGAACAUAACUGACGCUAAGGCGUGAAAGCGUGGGGAGCAAACAGGAUUAGAUACCCUAGUAGUCC
RNAcentral lists this ribosomal RNA (274 nucleotides) under uncultured bacterium. RNAcentral's name for it is "partial 16S ribosomal RNA". It matches the Rfam family "Bacterial small subunit ribosomal RNA", at positions 523 to 796 of the family's 1533-position model. The record is from RNAcentral.